AGAGACUAGUAUGAAUGGCAAGACGGAGCCAAACUGUCUCUUUUCCAUAAUUCUGAAUUUCACUCCCCCGUGAAGAGGCGGGGAUAAAAUCGCUAGACGAGAAGACCCUGUCGAGCUUACAGCAAAACUCAAACUCUUAUUAUACUUUAUUCUUUACUAAUACGUGACAUUAUAAGGAAACAAAGCCUCUAGGAGAUUGGAGAAAGCUUUGGUUGGGGCAAUCACGGAGUAAAAUAACCCUCCGCUAAUACAGAAAACUAUACUAAGAACCACAAUUCUAAAAUCAACAAUGAAAGUAUGAUCCACUAAGGUGAUCAAAGGAACAAGUUACCGCAGGGAUAACAGCGUUAUCUUUUCUGAGAGUUCACAUUGACGAAAAGGUUUGCGACCUCGAUGUUGGAUCGGGACAUCCUAAGGGUGCAGAAGCUUUUAAGGGUUGGUCUGUUCGACCAUUAAAGUCCUACGUGAUCUGAUUUCAAAACCGGGAGACGGACCCGUG
Molecule: ribosomal RNA, 499 nt
Filed under: Echinometra sp. EQ22
Lineage: Eukaryota; Metazoa; Echinodermata; Echinoidea; Camarodonta; Echinometridae
Description: partial large subunit ribosomal RNA
Rfam family: Bacterial large subunit ribosomal RNA
Source: RNAcentral